Molecule: ribosomal RNA, 483 nt
Filed under: Hemienchytraeus sp. PDW-2010
Lineage: Eukaryota; Metazoa; Annelida; Clitellata; Enchytraeida; Enchytraeidae
Description: partial 16S ribosomal RNA
Rfam family: Bacterial large subunit ribosomal RNA
Source: RNAcentral
UGCUUAAUGACACAUCAUAUUAAGUACACCCUGCCCAAUGACAACUUUAAAUGGCCGCGGUAUCCUAACCGUGCGAAGGUAGCAUAAUAAUUUGCCCAUCAAUUGUGGGCUAGAAUGAAUGGGCAAACGAAGUUACUCCUAUAUUAUUAUACCUAAUAUAAACUAACAUUUAAGUGAAGAUGCUUAAAUAAUAUUAAAGGACAAGAAGACCCUAAAGAGCUUAAUCAAAACUAUACUACUAAUAAGUAUACCAAGACUUGGUUGGGGCGACCAAGGACCAAAUCAUCCUUAAAACACUAGAGACAUUACUCAAACCAAAGAUCCUUAUACUCAAGACCUUAAAUCCAGCUACCUUAGGGAUAACAGGCUAAUUCUAUCAUAGAGUUCUUAUCAUCAAUAGAGAUUGGCACCUCGAUGUUGGCUUAGGAUAUCUUAUUGGCGCAAAAGUCAUAAUAAGAUGGUUUGUUCAACCAUAAAACUCCU